Lontra canadensis (Northern American river otter) is the source of this 1422-nucleotide long non-coding RNA. RefSeq lists it as uncharacterized. NCBI's taxonomy places the organism in Eukaryota, Metazoa, Chordata, Mammalia, Carnivora, Mustelidae. The record is from RefSeq and is a predicted model, not a curated record. The transcript is spliced from 3 exons.
GUGAAUGUAUGCCUAUCUGUUGACUAUGCUACUGUGGUUCAAUAUUUCAUGUGCAUUUUGGAAGUGUGUAAUAUCCCUCCCAGGGCUCUUGUGUGAGCAUGUGUCUGUCAUGAGUGAACAUCUCAGAAUGUGUGUGCAAAGUGGAUCUUUUUGUGCCUGUGGGCUUGAGUAUCAGUUUUUGUGUUGCCUGUGUGUGCUUGUGGUUCUGUGUAUGUGUGAGGUGUGUAUCCGCUGGUGUGUGCGUUUGUGCAUCUGACGGUGUGGGGAUGGAGCAGGUUUGUGACCAUGCACCUUGGGGAUAUGUGAAGUUGUGUGAGUGUGUAGGAGUGUGUCUGAGCAUUUAAGAGCCUGCACUGUGUGUCACCUGUAUGUGCAAGUGAGUAUAUGUUGUAUGUAUGGGCCCCUGUGUGUUGGCAAGCGUGCACGUGUGUGUCUGUUAUAGAAGCAUGAAUCUGGUUGUCUGCAAGGGGGCACACAGGUUUCUCUGCUGUGUGUGUCUGUGGGUAUGUAUGAAUGUGCAAAGGAAAGGCAGUGCUGUACAUGCGUGCUUGUGUGCGAGUGUGUCCCCCUUGAGGGUGUGUGUCUGUGCUGUGAGUCCAUUUAUGUGUCAGUGUUGGUCUUUGGGGAUUGGGGUUGUAUCCAUUGAUACGUGCGGGGCAAUCUGUAUGCAUGUGCUUGUCUCCCUGGCACGAGGCUGACCUCACUUCUUGGCCCAGUGAGACUGGAGCCUGUGUGGUGUGACCUGUGGUAUGCUUGGGUCCCUCGUGGAGGGGGGUGUCCAAGGACACAAGUGUGUCCGCAUGCCAGGCCAAGAGCCCACGGAGAGUGGGGGCACACAUCUGGCUGGUGUGUUCCUGGAAAUCCAGAUGUGGAGACUUUGACUCUGGGUCCAUGUGGGUUUUGGCGUGUCUGCACAUGUUGGUAUGACAAUGGUAUGAUGGCGAGGAUGGGGGCCUCUGGUUCUUUCCUACAAAGUUGGGGGACUGGGAUGUGAACUCUGGAACAUGCUGGGAGCCUGAAAUCCCGGAUCUACAAGAGAAGGUACUGGCCCAGGCCCUGACUCCCUGCAGAGAGGUGAGUGGGGUCCUCCAGGCUGGGGAGAGAGAUGUGGAGUGAUUGGGCCUGCUCUGAGCCAGCUGGAGGCCUGAAGCCCUGCCUGAUGAAGAAACCGAGAUUCAGAGAGGUUCAGACACUUGCCCGAGGUCACACAGCUAGUAAGUGUCAGAGCUGGAAUUUGAACCCAGGGGCUGUGGCUUUGAAAUUCAUGACCUUAAACCCUAGUCAGCCAUGAGUUUUCCGAAUAUUAAGUGGGUACUGGAAGGCCUAGGCUUAGUCAGGUGUCACCCCGCUGGUUGGGAAAUCAUGAGAAGUCUGGGCCUUCUGGAGGAGAGUCAGAGUUGGGAUUGGGACACUCAGGGGUGG